AGCUUUGCGCAGUGGAGGUAUUGUAGCCAAUGAGGUUUAUCUGAGGCACGAUUAUUGCUACUUGAAAACUUUUCCCAUUAUGAGCUGCACAGUAUAUAUACUUGUACAGCAUUUAGGAUGGUGCCUUACAUAGUAU
Molecule: non-coding RNA, 136 nt
Organism: Fukomys damarensis (Damara mole-rat)
Lineage: Eukaryota; Metazoa; Chordata; Mammalia; Rodentia; Bathyergidae
Source: Rfam